GAUGACAUAAUUCAUGUGAAUCAUACCCUUAAAUUUCUGAAGCCUGUUUUUACACAACAGCGAGAGCCAGAAUCCUACCCACACACUCAAUAUGAGGAAGGGCAAUCUCAGGCAAAACACUCUCAGGAAGAGCAACCUCAAAUGGGGCAGUCACAGGAAGAGCAACCUCAAAUGGGGCAGUCACAGGGAGAGCAGCCUCAAAUGGGGCAGUCUCAGGCAAAGCACACUCAGGGAGAGCAACCUCAAAUGGGGUGGUCUCAGGCAAAGCACUCUCAGGGAGACCAGCCUGAAGAAGGGCAGGGAGGGCAAUCUCAAGAAGAACAAUCUCAGGCAGGGCCAUAUCCGGGAUGUCAACCUCAUGCAGGGCAAUCUCAUGCAUCACAAUCAACUUAUGGUGGUUGGAAUGGUUUAGAGGAGAACUUUUGUGAUCAUAAGCUAAGUGUGAACAUCGACGAUCCCAGUCGUGCUGACAUAUACAACCCGCGUGCCGGUACGAUAACCCGUCUCAACUCCCAAACGUUCCCCAUCCUUAACAUCGUGCAAAUGAGUGCUACAAGAGUACAUCUCUACCAGGUAAUUAUGAUAUUGUGUUUUUUCAUACUCUUUUAUAUUCAAAGCUUCACAAUGCAAUCUUAACGUUAUACCUUACAUAAUUUAUGAUCGCAGAACGCCAUUAUUUCACCAUUAUGGAACAUUAAUGCCCAUAGUGUGAUGUACAUGAUCCAAGGACAUAUCUGGGUUCAGGUUGUCAAUGACCAUGGUCGAAAUGUGUUCAAUGACCUUCUUAGCCCGGGGCAACUAUUAAUCAUACCACAGAACUAUGUUGUUCUGAAGAAGGCACAACGUGAUGGAAGCAAGUACAUUGAAUUCAAGACUAAUGCGAACUCCAUGGUUAGUCACAUCGCAGGAAAGAACUCAAUUCUCGGCGCCUUGCCCGUUGAUGUCAUCGCCAAUGCAUACGGCAUCUCUAGGACAGAAGCUCGAAGCCUCAAAUUUAGCAGGGAAGAGGAGUUGGGAGUAUUCGCUCCUAAAUUCAGUCAAAGUAUCUUCCGUAGUUUUCCUAACGGCGAAGAAGAGUCGUCUUAAGAGCGCAUGAGAUAAUGUCAAAACUAGCUCAUGGACUAAAAUAAACACAUCAUUGAGUGUGUAGCACUUUGAUGUUUCCAUAUAUGGUCGUCUCAAUAAGAUAUCAACAAAGGUCCAUUGUGUUUCAUAUGUUUAUCUUUCUGGAAAUUUCAUGAACUUUGUUUUGCAAGUUGCAUUCAUGAAUUCUUCAUCUAGAUAGUGUGGAUAUGUUAUCGUAUUUGUACACUAUUCUAUGUGGUAGUGUUUUCGGUUUCUCACUAUAGCAAUAAAAAUUCUCACCAUAGCAAUAAACACCAAUGUGUUUUUCGUUUGUGUUUGCACUGGCAUACACGUCACUCACUUGCUAACUAAGCCUAGUAAAAAGCAGUGUGUGGUGGCUACGGCCAGCUCAAUACAUUCUUCUAUGUGCCAUUGGCCCCAUUUCACUUGUGUUGUCUUCUGCAAAAAGUCAUAUGGUUGUUGGGUGAGUAAUUUGUGGUUCACCCUUAAGACGAAUGAAGGAUGAUGUAGAUUUCUAGUGUGCCCUUGAGUUCUUCCUUUGCAAUUGGGUUCAACUCUUUCUAUAUAAGGAAAUUAGGUCUGGCCAUUAUCCAACUUGAUAUUUGAUGGCCGCCACUUUCUUUUUGAAAUUGUGUGUGCCACUAACGAUUGCAAAUAAAUUGGGCACAAGCCCUGUGCGUCGUUAGAGCAAGUUGCCGCCGGGUUCUCACCUCAUUGCCACCUCCUUUGACCCAUUUCUUCUUAUGUGAGUCUCAUUUGUUGCCACGUCUUCAAUAACAGAGGGGAGACUCAUAUGAAACAUCCAUUUGAUGUGUUGGCCAUCAUUUGGCCACGUUGUGAACAAUGAAUAGGAGAGCCAACAUCAGCGCUCGAGCUCCUUCUCUUCCAGCUACCGCCGCACACCAAUUAGGCCAUUCUAGACCCUACAUGUGCAUUUCGAGUCAAUUGCAAGAAACUACCAUAUUUGCGGCUAGGUUUGCGAAAAACCACCAAGUCGCUAAUCCGUUGCAAAAAACACCGCAACUUCUCUAAUCUCAUUGCAAAAAGCACUGAUCGGGUGAUUUGGGAAGUUUAAUUGCUUUCUGACAAGUGGGGCCUCAUUGUAAGGAGCUAACAUGGCAAAAAUUUAACAUGCACACCCCUGAAACAAAUAAGAAAAUGCAAUCAGCCCCCUCCUCCCGAUUUGGGCUGCCGAAGCAGAGCGCAACACGCGGGCAUGGGGCUCGUCGCCGGGGAGCAGAGGGCAUGGGCAGAGCCACACGGCUGCUGCGGCAGUCGGCAACGGAGCUGGCCGGGCGGGUGGGCCGCACCUCGUCCCUGCGGUUCGUGUCCUGCCGCUGCGGCUCGCCUCUGCUCGCUCCAGUGAUGCACUCCGCCGCGCCGCUGCUUGCGCUACCGCAUUAAGCGCCACCGCCCCGCUUCUUGCGCUGCUGCGCUGCGCGCUGCCGCGCCGUUUCUUGAUGCAAUGAUGCGCGCCCCCACCAGCGCUCGAGCUAUGCGUGGCCGCGCCGCUGCUUGCGCCCUUGCUGAGCGCCGCGGCCGCUGCUUGCUCUGCUUCUGCACCUAGAAGAAAGGAGGCGGCGAGCACCUUGGCCCAGCCCGCGGUGGCGAUGCAGUUGGCCGGCGGUGGCUUGCGGGAACGGCGGCGAGGGCCUGCGGGAACAGCCGAUCCCGAAUGGAUCGGGGUAAGGGGGAAUUUGUUUUGGGUGUUGAUUGCGUUUUAUUUUAGAUUCCAGGGGUGUGUAUGUCAAUUCUGUGCCAAGUCAGCUCCUUAAAAUUCGGUCCCACUUGUCAGAAAGCGAUCAAACGGACCAAAUCACCCGAUCAGUGCUUUUUUGCAAUAGGAUUAGAGAAAUUGUGGUGUUUUUUGCAACGGAUUAGCGAGUUGGUGGUUUUCUGCAAACCUAGCCGCAAAUGUGGUAGUUUCUUGCAAUUGACUCUGUGCAUUUCCCACCUGAAACCGCCACGCCACCACCGGCGAGCCCGUUUGCCAUCCCCGCGCGUCCUUUCACGUGCCUUAUUUCCCGCGAGAGGCCGCCGUCGAGUCCAAAAUGGAAGCAUAUAAAUGCAAUUCAUGGUAGUGUAUCAAAUGAAAGAAAAAAAUAUCAGACUUACUCUUCAUAUCAGUUCAUCGCAAGAUGCAAAAUAAAAAUUGGUAUCGUUGCUAUUUAAUUGCGCGCUAAAGGUUCGCUCACUGUGGCUGUCGAUCUUUCUCUUGCAUAAUUAACAAUGAUUAAGAUGACAAUCUAGGCGUGCCCCGUGAAUCAAGUGAGUGUCACGUGUCGUGUGCAGGGCCAAUAAGACAUACAAAUUGAAAUGUAGUUUUUUUAGGGCUAUAUAUAUAGUUUUGACUAAGGAAAAACAUGAUAGAGUAUAUGGUUAAUAACAACAAGCAUGUGUGUCUCGCAAGGCGCCAUCGAGAUGCAGCAUAAAGACACCCGACAGCACAUUAUCUCACUACUAUAUACUCGGCUUCUUGUUGAUGAUUCCUGCUAAUUACUCCAGCUCUCGAGAAAUGCCAACCCUGCAGAUUGUAUGAUGUUCUAUUAUUCUGACGCCGGCUGGCUGGGAUGUGUGCAUCAGUGCAUCGCCCAUUGCUUGCUUAAUGGUACAGCCCUCGAAAUGUUAAUUCCGUGCAGUUGCUUGCUUAAUGGUACAGCCCUCGAAAUGUUAAUUACGUGCAGUUUUUAAUUUCCUGCCGCUGUUUGACAGGGAAGAAAAAAAAUACUGAUUGCCCGGUGGUAGCUAGCUCGCUCGUGCCAGCGGUGCUCAAGAUUUGAUCUCGGGAAGAUUAACUUAGUCGGCUACUUGCUGAUUGCACUCUCGUGAUCUCCCUCCUCGGAAAAAGCAAGGAAUGAUAGACUACUGUAGGUACUUCACUUCGCUGCAGCCGAUAUACGGACCGGGAUUACGGAGUACGUACUGGUCCUAACCUACCUACCAAGCUACCCCUAGCUGGUUAAACAAGUACACUUGCUUAAGACCGAAGAGUAAUCAAGUACUCCAGUACUACAAUAUGCAGUAUAUCCACAAAUGGAGUGUCACUUGGACCAUCGCUACCGGCUCAGUAUAUAUCAUUCUACCUCUGGCCUUUGUAGGCUUGUUGAUUUUUGGGACAAAGAAGAUAGGACGCGUCUAGGGAGCGGCCAGCUGCUCUCUAGCGUUCCCGAGCGGCCACCACCAGAAAAAAAAGAUUCGGCCCUUCUGACCUCAGAAAAGGAAAUCCAGCUACAGACCCACGUCAACCCAACAAACUGCACACAGGACGCGGUCCCCAGGCCAUCACAUGCCCUUCCCUCCCCUCCUGAAGCACUCGAAGCUCUCACGCCCUCUUGGCCACCAACCUUCUCCCCAUGCCCCUACCUGCCCCCACCUAGCUUCUUCUCCACGAAACAAGGGGUUCCCAGUUCUGGAUCUCCAUCGCCACAGCUGCCAUGGCGGAUGAAUCAAGGUGAAAUAACAAUGCUAUGGAACAAUUUACUGCGAAAAAAAGAAGAAAGAGGGAGGACAGAUUAGAAAGUACCAGGCAGCACCAACAAGGGUGAAAAAAGAGGUUGAUCCUUUUCUCCUCAUGUCCAGAUCCUCACUCUUGACUUUCCCUUUCACCCCCACACCAAAUUUCUCUUUGAAAAAUAGCUUCUCCGUACUUAAAAGACAACACAAACAAGGAUAAAAAAUGGAGAGAUCCGGUACCUGUGCAAUUUUAACAAAUUAUUGUGCAACUAGAUCAUAAGACAAGUCAACUUUUGCAGCAAUGUGUGCAACAAAACACAGAAAAUAUGCAAAUAUAUAUAAGAGAGCACAUAUAGAGUCUUACUUCACACAUAAUGCAGAAGAACCAGUGUCACUGUAGCAAAAAAAGAAAAGAAAAAAAGCAUAUUGUAGGUACAAUGAAAAUAUAACUACCAACUAUACAAGAAGUAUAUGUGUUUUUUCCUUUGAUCUUUCCACACAGUAGUAUAUGUGACUUUGUAGCAUAGAAUUGUGUGCAAAAAUCUACAUCAGUUCAUGCACCCCAUAGCCUGUAAAACCUGCACAUGAUGCAAAAAAAGAAGCUUGAGAAAAAAAAAGAACCAACGCUAGCUUGUAUUUGUGCAACUUAACGAGUACAAUUGUGCAACCGACAACACUCCCAUAUCCAUCCACUUGUGGGGUUUGAAUUUCAUUAGUUGGCAUCUUCAACUCAUAUAAAAGUAAAAGAUGCCAACUCAGAUAAUUUCAGAUUCAUUUUGGUUUAGCUAAAAAUCUGUAUGCAGAAUUCCAAAAAUAAACUUUAUGUUGGCUCUUGUGCAACUACAUCAUCUAUUUUGUGCAACUGCAAGUACUCCUGCAUGCAAAUCAUGUUGCGUGUUUAUGCAGCUAUGUAAUGAAUUUUGAACUGAGGAACAUGAUGAAUUUAGCCUAUCUAAACACAAGAAAAUAGAUAAAAUAAUGAAUUUAACAGAUUAUAAUCUUCCAAAUAAGUAGUGCAACUAUAGUCAAGUGCAUUUGCAAACCUAGAAAAUCAUAUGCAUGUGCACACAUGAGGAUGCCAACUACUGAAUGGUUCUUGUGCAACUAAAGAAGUUGAAGAUGCCAACUCAUGUGGCACUGUUGCGCAACUAUUAAAAAAUUGGUGAUGCCAACUCCUGAUUGGUUCUUGUGCAACUAAAAUAGUUGCGGAUGCCAACUCAUGUGAUAUUGUUAUGUGAAUAUUCAAAAAGUUGAGACUGCCAACUCCCAAAUGGUUCUGGUACAACUAUGAAAGUCGAGGAUGCCAACUUGUGUGAUACUGUUGUGCAACUAUUUGAAAAGUUGAGGAUACCAACUCUUAAUUGAUUUUUGUACAACUAUAAAAGUUUCAGGAUGGCAACACCUAGCUGGUUCUUGUGCAACUGCGUAAAAAAUAAUAUCCCAGGUUUCUUUGUGUAGGAAAAAAAAUCCUAAUGCCAUUUUAUGUUACCUCGGCAGCUGCUGCAGACGAUGUGCCAACUCCAGCUACAACUCCAACCUGCGUGGUCGCCUUCCGUUUCCGCCCUUUCACGAAGAGGAAUGGGUCACCAACCUAAAGGAUGCAUGGAAAAAGUAACUUGUGUGUGUGUGCAAAAAAGGGAAAUGCACCCUCACUGCUUGCUCGAUACCCCUGUUUUUGAGUCGAACGAAUAGUCACGACUAGUCGAUGAGUCGUAACUAGAAGUCGACUCAGACACCUCGACUAGAUCGGCACAGCAUGACUCGUCAAGAGUCGCUACCCCAGAACGACUUGUCGAGUCGAAAACUUUGCACGAUACUUACCUCAUCAUCCUCUGCCUCCCCAUCGAUAUCAGCACGACGCGGCUGCCGCUUGGCGGGCUGUUUCGAGUUCCACCGAGAAGAAUUGUUUACAGGCCCCUGCAUAGAACAAACAAANNNNNNNNNNNNNNNNNNNNNNNNNNNNNNNNNNNNNNNNNNNNNNNNNNNNNNNNNNNNNNNNNNNNNNNNNNNNNNNNNNNNNNNNNNNNNNNNNNNNNNNNNNNNNNNNNNNNNNNNNNNNNNNNNNNNNNNNNNNNNNNNNNNNNNNNNNNNNNNNNNNNNNNNNNNNNNNNNNNNNNNNNNNNNNNNNNNNNNNNNNNNNNNNNNNNNNNNNNNNNNNNNNNNNNNNNNNNNNNNNNNUGAAAAAAGCAAACAUACCUCUCCUUCACUAGGAGCCGCAUAUCCUUCUACAACCAUUUUUGGUCUGUGAAAAGAAAAGCGAACAAACAAAUUAGUCGAAGCAACCAAAUGUAUUAAAGAGAAAAAAAAUGAGCAAAAACAAUUGAUAUCAAAAAAAAAUGCCAUGAGGUAAGCAAGUAAUGUUGAUUUUUCAAAGCACUCCUGCAAAACAAAACAAAAAUGUGUGCAACUUGAUGCACUGUAUGCCCAACAGGUCACACAUGAGUGUGCAACCAAAUCAGCAUACACACUGCAUGGUCAUGAUUUAGGCAUUGAAGCCAAAACUAAACUAGUUGUCAACCAUGCAACUAUAUAGCCCUUCCCUGUACAACUGCAUAAGUGUGACUAAGCCAGCUUGGAUAUGUACUGCUUUGAUUUGCAAAUUCAUGUAUGAAUGCAUACCCUUGUGACAACAGAGCACACAUGAGUGUGCAACCAAAUGAACACAUAUACUGCUUGAACAUGGUUUGAACAGUGCAUCCAUCUGAAUACUAUCAUUUGUGCAACUGGUUAGCCCUCACUGUGCAACUUCAUAAGUUGGCUAGCCAAUUGAGAUUUGUAUAUGCAUGAUCCAACUACAUUUGCGUUUCUGUGCAACUAUGACAACAAAAUAGUCAACUGGUUAUUUAUAUGCAUGCAACUUAUUAGAAAACAGAGAAACCACACAAAUACAUUUUCAGAGGAUUGAGCAAUAACAUUAGAACUAUCCUCUCGGUACUCUUAUGUACUUCCCUCCUUCUAUUCCAACUCAAAUCGCCGUCCAAAAAUCAAAACAUACAAACGUUACAGUGUUAGCUGACUAAAGAAAACACUUAUUUCACCAUCCAAUCAUUCAGUUUCUACAAGGAUGAUGGAACACACAUAGAAUUGAACUAUUUUGCUUCAGUCAUGUACUGAGUAGCAGACUAGCACUCAAUUAGAAAAAGAAAAACAAACAUUAAAAAUGUAAAUAUAAACUAGACUCGUGUGCCAGGACUACUAGCAAAUACUACUACACUGUAUUGACAUGCAGGCACCCAGAAUCGCUAGGCUAUGAUGGUCCGGUCAACGAAUUUUAGACGAGAAGGUGUCAAUGCUCUCCCACGGGACCCUUCUGCCUGAAUCAGGCCAGAAUCGCUGCCGGCGCUGGGACCUGACACUACUGCACCUCCGCUUAACAGAUCAUGACCGGAAAGACCACAUCAGACACCACCACCACCGGAGGCUGCUCCAUCUCCGCCAUCACGUGACACAGACAUCAAACGCCACCUUGACCAAAGGAUCCUCCACCUCCGCCAUCACGGUGUCCUGGCACGUGGAGGAGAUCAUCAAAGAGCAAGCAGAUGGGGGGAGUGGGCUCAGUCGGAGCCGGAGGGGAUGGAAUCUUAACCAACCUCGGGCAGACGAAGGAGACGAUGGCCACAUCCCGUCGACGACGGCGGGGCACGGCGGCGAUGGGGCUGGAUCUGGUUGCGCAGGGAGGAGCGGGGCAGUUGGAGAGGACGCCAUGGUGGAGUGGGCUGGUGGUGGUGCGGCCAAGCCAACCGUCGUCGUGGUGGUGCGACGACGACCUCGGGGCAGAGCCACGCGGGGGUGGUCCUCCCCUCCCCCGAUCCGCCGGUGGAGCAUGGUGGCCGGUUAGUGGGAGGCUCCUGCUGGUCGGCGUUGAGGGGAGAGGCCGGUGAGCCCCCUCUAAUCCAGAUCCGUGGGGAUAGUGAGAGAGAGACGCGGGUGCUACGGGAAAGACAGAGAGAGGCUGUCGGUGGGGUGGGCCGGUAACUUGUCAGAUAGCGAUUGUGAUGGCCGGAUCGUGCGGCCGCGAGCCGGCCGCUCGAUGUGUCCACAUAGUACGUAUGCACUUUUUAGAUUUUAGGAAUAAGAUAGGAUGGGUUUAUCAUCGUUCACAAGUGUGAUGGCAUCAGUCUGCCGUGCGUGAUGCCUGCCGUCUGCCCUAGCCUGUGCCCUGUGCGUAUCCGUCUGGCUCUAACAUUGCGUGGUACUAGUAGAAAACGUAGUAUUAAACUGGCAUAUAAUACUCUGCACGGAUCCAUGAUGGAUUUGUGCGGAAAGUGUCGUCCUCGUUAGUGGUGUGAUGGUAACGUGUGGCCUGGUAAUCAGAGCCAGCCAAGCUAACCAGGGGGGAGGACAUAUCUUUGCCAAUCUAAGGGUGUCUCGUGUACUCUACCGGAGUAGAUUAUUCAGUCGCCCGCCGGACCGGAGUAGAGUAUUGUAUGUUAUCCCAAUGGUUUCAAGUGCAGUUCACGCAAACAUGCAUAUGCCGUGGAUCUCACAACCCAAACCUCCAGUAUGUACGGUACUUGUAUAGGGUGGACUACUAGUGUCGUAGCAAUACAGCCCAUCAAUCCAGCCCCCACGUGAUUGUCUCUCGUACUACCAGCUAUGUUGUGUACUACUUGGCUGGCACUGUAUUUGCAGGUACGUGACGGAGACAUGGUAGUAAUGGCCAGCUGACCGUAGUAGCCCCAUACAUUUUGGUUCCCCGGGAAAAGAAGAUUCAAUAUGUCGUGUCAGCAUCCAUGCUUGCACAAUUAUACGAUUCGUGCAUCUUCGAUGUAAUUUUUAUUAUGUUUGAGGUGUUUUGUAUUUCUGAUGAAUCUUUAUAAUAGAUCUGAGCUUUAAAAAAAAUACGGUGGUUAGUCACGUCGCAGGAAAGAACUCAAUCCUCGGCGCAUUGCCCGUUGAUGUCAUCGCCAAUGCAUAUGGCAUCUCUAGGACAGAAGCUCGAAGCCUCAAAUUUAGCACGGAAGAGGAGCUGGGAGUAUUCACUCCUAAAUUCAGUCAAAGUAUCUUCCAUAGUUUUCCUAACAGCGAAGAAGAGUCAUCUUAAGAGCGCAUGAGCUAAUGUUAGAACUAGCUCAUGGAGUAAAAUAAACACACCAUUGAGUGUGUAACACUUUGAUGUUCCCAUAUAUGGUCAUCUCAAUAAGUUAUCAACAAAGGUUCAUUGCGUUUCAUAUGUUUAUCUUUUUGGAAAUUUCAUGAACUUUGCUUUGCAAGUUGCAUUCGCGAAUUCUUCAUCUAGAUAGUGUGCAUAUGUUAUCGUUUUUGUACUACUAUUCUAUGUGGU
This 9823-nucleotide long non-coding RNA is filed under the name Triticum aestivum (bread wheat). RNAcentral's name for it is "long non-coding RNA (TAES_LNC013952)". The record is from RNAcentral. Lineage: Eukaryota; Viridiplantae; Streptophyta; Magnoliopsida; Poales; Poaceae.